UACGUAGGGUGCAAGCGUUUGUCCGGAAUUAUUGGGCGUAAAGAGCUCGUAGGCGGUUUGUCGCGUCUGCUGUGAAAACCCGAGGCUCAACCUCGGGCCUGCAGUGGGUACGGGCAGACUAGAGUGCGGUAGGGGAGAUUGGAAUUCCUGGUGUAGCGGUGGAAUGCGCAGAUAUCAGGAGGAACACCAAUGGCGAAGGCAGAUCUCUGGGCCGUAACUGACGCUGAGGAGCGAAAGCGUGGGGAGCGAACAGG
Molecule: ribosomal RNA, 254 nt
Filed under: uncultured bacterium
Lineage: Bacteria
Description: partial 16S ribosomal RNA
Rfam family: Bacterial small subunit ribosomal RNA
Source: RNAcentral